RNAcentral lists this ribosomal RNA (779 nucleotides) under uncultured Bacillota bacterium. RNAcentral describes it as "bacterial SSU rRNA". It matches the Rfam family "Bacterial small subunit ribosomal RNA", at positions 64 to 822 of the family's 1533-position model. The record is from RNAcentral. Lineage: Bacteria; Bacillati; Bacillota.
GAGGAUCAUCGGGUUAGCAAUAAUUCGGUGGUUCUAGCGGCGUACGGGUGAGUAACACGUGGGUAACCUGCCCUUGAGACUGGGAUACCCUCUCGAAAGGGAGGCUAAUACUGGAUACGUUCCCCGGGGCGCAAGACCUGGGGAGGAAAGGUGGCGAAAGCUGCCGCUCUUGGAGGGGCUCGCGGCCUAUCAGCUAGUUGGUGAGGUAACGGCUCACCAAGGCUAUGACGGGUAGCUGGUCUGAGAGGACGACCAGCCACACGGGAACUGAGACACGGUCCCGACUCCUACGGGAGGCAGCAGUGGGGAAUUUUCCGCAAUGGGCGAAAGCCUGACGGAGUGACGCCGCGUGGGGGACGAAGGCCUUCGGGUCGUAAACCCCUGUCAGAGGGAAAGAAGGGUGCUGGCGUGAACAGCGCCGGCAUCUGACGGUACCUUCAGAGGAAGCCCCGGCCAACUCUGUGCCAGCAGCCGCGGUAAGACAGAGGGGGCAAGCGUUGCUCGGAAUCACUGGGCGUAAAGGGCGCGUAGGCGGGAUGGCAAGUCGGUCGUGAAAUCCUUCGGCUCAACCGAAGAACGUCGGCCGAUACUGCCGUUCUUGAGGGAUGCAGAGGAGAUUGGAAUUCCCGGUGUAGCGGUGAAAUGUGUAGAGAUCGGGAGGAACACCGGUGGCGAAGGCGGGUCUCUGGGCAUCUCCUGACGCUGAGGCGCGAAAGCGUGGGGAGCAAACGGGAUUAGAUACCCCGGUAGUCCACGCUGUAAACGAUGACGACUAGGUG